GAAUAUUUGACAAUGGGGGGAACCCUGAUCCAGCCAUGCCGCGUGUGUGAAGAAGGCCUUUUGGUUGUAAAGACCUUUAAGCGAGGAGGAGGCUAUUGUAGUUAAUACCUAGAGAUAGUGGCUGUUAAUAGCGGAAUAAGUACCGGCUAACUCUCGGCGAGCAGCCGCGGUAAUACAGAGGGUGCAAGCGUUAAUCGGAUUUACUGGGCGGAAAGCGCGCGUAGGUGGCCAAUUAAGUCAAAUGUGAAAUCCCCGAGCUUAGCUUGGGAAUUGCAUUCGAUACUGGUUGGCUAGAGUAUGGGAGAGGAUGGUAGAAUUCCAGGUGUAGCGGUGAAAUGCGUAGAGAUCUGGAGGAAUACCGAUGGCGAAGGCAGCCAUCUGUCCUAAUACUGACACUGAGGUGCGAAAGCAUGGGGAGCAAAC
Molecule: ribosomal RNA, 423 nt
Filed under: uncultured bacterium
Lineage: Bacteria
Description: partial 16S ribosomal RNA
Rfam family: Bacterial small subunit ribosomal RNA
Source: RNAcentral